CCUACGGGAGGCAGCAGUGAGGAAUAUUGGUCAAUGGUCGGGAGACUGAACCAGCCAAGCCGCGUGAGGGAUGAAGGUACAGAGUAUCGUAAACCUCUUUUGUCAGGGAACAACGGCGGGGACGCGUCCCCGGAUGAGUGUACCUGAAGACAAAGCAUCGGCUAACUCCGUGCCAGCAGCCGCGGUAAUACGGAGGAUGCGAGCGUUAUCCGGAUUUAGUGGGUUUAAUGGGUGCGCAGGCGGUCUGUUAAGUCAGCGGUCAAAGCCCGGGGCUCAACCCCGGCCCGUCGUUGAAACUGGCAGUCUCGAGUUGGAGAGAAGUAUGCGGAAGGCGCGGUGUAGCGGUGAAAUGCAGAGAUAGCGCGCAGAACUCCGAGUGCGAAGGCAGCAUGCCGGCUCCACACUGACGCUGAGGCACGAAAGCGUGGGUAUCGAACAGGAUUAGAUACCCCUGUAGUC
RNAcentral lists this ribosomal RNA (459 nucleotides) under uncultured bacterium. Its description in RNAcentral is "partial 16S ribosomal RNA". It matches the Rfam family "Bacterial small subunit ribosomal RNA", at positions 338 to 795 of the family's 1533-position model. The record is from RNAcentral.